This 285-nucleotide long non-coding RNA is filed under the name Mytilus galloprovincialis (Mediterranean mussel). The record is from RNAcentral. Lineage: Eukaryota; Metazoa; Mollusca; Bivalvia; Mytilida; Mytilidae.
AUUUUCUAGAAAACUGACCAAACCGUUAUUUUCUUAAUUGAACCAAUUGGUCAUAUAUCGGUUACUCAGUAUCUUUGUCGUAAAUUGCUACUUGAUUGCUUUGCAAGAAUAACUAUAUCUUCUCUUUGAUGAAUAUCUAGUGGGUGAAUUUGACAUCUUUUUAUGAUUUAAGGGGCAUGUCAGGUGUUUGCAAUUUGUUCUUGAUUUCUUGAUAUUCUAAUUUUUAUUUCGAACCACUUUCCCGGAAAUAUUUACUGUCUAUCAAUGCGCAUUACGCGUACAAUC